AUGACUAAAGGAGCUGGUGAUUCUAACUGUCGCAUCGAAAACCUUUUCUUUGCGGAAGUCAAAUGUGUGCGACAAGGAAAAGAAGAGGAAAUGUUGGUCAGCUGCUUCCGCGUGAUUGAAUCUACCGAUAAUGGCUGGAGCAGCGACUCGGACGACGAAGAUAUGGAAGCUAAGAAAGAAAAGAUAAGAUUUAGUUUGACGGGCGUUGCUGAUCCAAAGUGUAUGAAGAUGUUCACGCUGCCUCCGAGUGCUUUCGACGACGACGAUGACUAA
Molecule: ribosomal RNA, 273 nt
Filed under: Triticum aestivum (bread wheat)
Lineage: Eukaryota; Viridiplantae; Streptophyta; Magnoliopsida; Poales; Poaceae
Description: partial small subunit ribosomal RNA
Source: RNAcentral